Chinchilla lanigera (long-tailed chinchilla) is the source of this 870-nucleotide long non-coding RNA. RefSeq lists it as uncharacterized. The record is from RefSeq and is a predicted model, not a curated record. NCBI's taxonomy places the organism in Eukaryota, Metazoa, Chordata, Mammalia, Rodentia, Chinchillidae. The transcript has 3 exons.
UGGUGCAUCGCUGCCUGCUCUGUGUUGGUCCCCAGAUACCAUGACGAAUGUGUGGGGUCACGUCACCUUCCUGUGGUGUGCUGCUAUGGCAAAAUUUCAAUAAAGAGAGUCUUGGGUGAAAGACCGUUGACCUCUGCAACCACACUUCCCUUGUCUCUGCCUCUGCUCUUCCUGCUCCUGGAACUCAGGGACCCAGAGGCCUGGUCAUGAGAGAAGAGGCAGGUCGGGAAGCAGCGGGGUGAAAAGAAGGAGCAGAGACUUUGGAUUCACCUCUGAGGACAGUUACUCCCCAGUCUGACUUCAACUCUGCGUGUGUCUGGAGACGAACUGGGCAGGUCUGGGGCUCAGCAAGGGACGGUGGCUUCAGGGUCCCUCUGCGAGCCACAUUUCUGAUUUUGCGAAGCCUCUCUCUGCAAGACAGGAGCGGGUGAUGUUCAUUCCUUGAAGAAUGAGUCCUGGCGCGCUUGCCCUCUAGGGGCAGCCCUGCCGAUCUGAGGAUAUGAUCCUCAAUUUGCUCCUCACUGAUGUCAGGGAGCAGAUCUCCAACAAAGAGAACUCUUCCAGCUCCCAUCUCCUUGACGGAGGGGCCAUUGGCUCCAUCUUGGCUGAGCCUGGCCCUGUUUGCAUGUGCUGAGGUGUGCAGAGCCGGCUGGGACUUUUCCUUAUCCCCCAGCUGGCUUUGAGCAGUGCCAGUCAGUCGGGCCAAGGUGCCGAUGUGCAGUCUUUGAAGCAAAGACAACAGGGCAGUGUUUCCCUGGGGCCCCCCAGCUCCCAGAUAAACACGUGUGAGCCGGGUGGGAUGCAGAGCCACGCUCCACGCUGUCAGCUGGGAUUGAGCGUCGAGAUAAGAGGCUAUGACUUCCCAGUAUA